GCAAGUCAUGAGGUUGGUUCUCCAGUCAUUGUUGUUCUGCACUGAGGAAACUGAAGCAUAGAAACAGCUAAUAGUGAGAAUGACAAUACAACUUUGUGUAUUGUCUGGACCCCAAUUUAUAAUGGAUCCUUCUGGCUGGAUUUAGGAUAGUGACCCUACUUCAACCAUAUAAGCAAGGUUAUAAUCCUAGGAAUUUGCAAACAGAAGGAGCCACACAGAAGGAACCUACAUCCCUGGAUGACACUGAAGACAAGAGGCAUUUACCUGCCUACUCCAUGGACUGUAAAGUGGAAAAAAUGACCUAUAGUUUUUGAGCCAUUCCAUUUAUGUUUUUGUCUUUAUUUUGUUUGCAGCAACUUACUUGGAUCCAGAAAAUAUGGAGUUUACAAAGAAGAAGGGAGAGGAGGGGAAGGAUGAAAAGGAGA
This 425-nucleotide long non-coding RNA is filed under the name Homo sapiens (human). Its description in RNAcentral is "HSALNT0335363". The record is from RNAcentral. Lineage: Eukaryota; Metazoa; Chordata; Mammalia; Primates; Hominidae.